Molecule: non-coding RNA, 1502 nt
Organism: Paramisgurnus dabryanus
Lineage: Eukaryota; Metazoa; Chordata; Actinopteri; Cypriniformes; Cobitidae
Source: RefSeq, a predicted model, not a curated record
UGUCAGACUCAGUUUGUUCGUGUUGUAGCCUGUUAACAGUAGACCAAAGGUAUGAUGAUCAAUUAUAAAUGCAAUAUGGUUGAAAGGUCAGUAAACAAACAACAAAAAGGUAAUUUCUUAAUAGAAUGUCUAUACAUUUUUUGCUUUUGUUACAUAUUUCAUACAUCAAAAUCAUUAAACGUUAAUAAUUAUGUAUUCCAACUUGUUGCAGCUUGACAAAAAUGUAGCUUGAAGGAGAAGGGACAGCUGAGUAACAAAGUCCUGGUACGCAGACGACGAUACUAUUACACUGACAAGAGUGUAAUGAUGAUGGAGACACAAGCCAGAGAAAGGGGGGACCAAACACCAGGCCAGAAUUCUGCAUGAGUCAGAUCCAGUGGGUGCAGAUCAUCAUACAGAUGGUUCAAGUGUGGAUCCACCUAAUAUUCAAGAUUUUCUGUCCUGGGACACUCGGCUAACCAUCAAGAAAGAAAACACUCCAGUGGGCAUCCUUUAUCCAUCCAGACCCUCAUACAGAUGGUUGGAGUUUUGAUUCACCUAAAGUACCAUGCAAGAGCACUCAUUUUCACUCUUGAGACCAUGGUGUGACCUGCAAGGUCGAAUGGAGACUGUAAACGAGACAAUCUUGGAGUCACCUGCAUUCACUGGUCCAGUUGUUAGUCCAAUUACAGAUGGAGAUUAUAGAAGAGGAUGAUGUCUUUUCUCCAACAUCUUUCUAGACUGAUAAAAGAUCUAGACAGGCUUGAACAAAAGUUAACAGAGGGGCUUAUAUAGAGAAUGGUGAGCAGCUACACAUAAAAGAAGAACAUGGAGAAUCUGCCCAGAGGUGUUAACCAGCAAUGCAGCUAUACAACUAAAUUGAUGCAGGCGGAAACAAUAAUGCAGCUGCUGCAGAUGAAGAAUCUGUCCGUCUACCACUGAAGGAGACGCGGAAAAUCGGGAAAAGAUGUUCUUUGCCCGAGGAAGCAUUUGAUUAAUUUAAAGAUAUUGUGUUUCUUUGUAUGUUAUAGAAAAACAUUGCUUUUUUUGCAUACACUCGUGUAAAUAUGCAUCUUAUGAAUGUUUUCCUUUGUCUAAUUUUAAUAAAUUUUACGCAAUCAACUGCCUGUUUUAUUGAAAAAACUGUUUUAAUUGUUGUCAAUGAUAUAUUGUAAUAAUAUGUGUGUAUAACUGUGUAGAAGAUGUAGUUUAGAGCAAUUUAUUUUUAAUGAUCUUUUAAUCGUCUUUUAAAGCUCUCAGAAACAUCUUAGAAAGAGCUCGAUUAAAGCUCUUAUAAAGAUCUUUUAAAGAUCUAAGAAACAUCUUGGAAAUAUCUUAGAAACAUCUGCUAACCAUCAUUCUAAAUAUCAAGCGUCUUGAAAAGAUCUUAAAAGCGUCUUCAAAACGGCUGGGCUCGUACGUCUCAGAUACGUAAUUCAUAUGGGCAAACGACCUUUAUAAUACGUUUUCCAGACGGAAUGGAAAUCUGAGUGAUUACCUCGCAGAUACGUAUCUGAGACGUA